ACGCUCGACACCUACGGAGGCAGCAGUGAGGAAUAUUGGUCAAUGGACGCAAGUCUGAACCAGCCAUGCCGCGUGCAGGAUGACGGCUCUAUGAGUUGUAAACUGCUUUUGUACGAGGGUAAACGCAGAUACGUGUAUCUGUCUGAAAGUAUCGUACGAAUAAGGAUCGGCUAACUCCGUGCCAGCAGCCGACGGUAAUCUGGAGGCCGGGCUGGACAAGGC
Molecule: ribosomal RNA, 222 nt
Filed under: uncultured bacterium
Lineage: Bacteria
Description: partial 16S ribosomal RNA
Rfam family: Bacterial small subunit ribosomal RNA
Source: RNAcentral